This is a long non-coding RNA of Anolis carolinensis (green anole), 927 nucleotides long. RefSeq lists it as uncharacterized. The transcript is spliced from 2 exons. NCBI's taxonomy places the organism in Eukaryota, Metazoa, Chordata, Lepidosauria, Squamata, Anolidae. The record is from RefSeq and is a predicted model, not a curated record.
AUAAGGCGGAUGUGGGCAGGGUGUUGUUUAAACUGUUGCUCAGCGGCUCCUUUUGUCUGAGGCCAGGGAUGUGGGUAGAACUUCAACUCCCAGAAGCCUGUCCAGUAGCAAGGGAUACUGGGAGAUGUAGUUGAAAAUCUUAUAGAGGGCCACCCCAGCUUUAGGACGCCUCCCAAUGUGUUUUCUUCUUUCAUCAAGGAGCAUCCUGGGGCAACAUCAAAACUCCUCUAUCAUGCCGUGUCAUUUUCUCUUCUACGAAUCCUGGAGGACAGCAGAACCUUGCCCUGACUCAGGCUAGAAGAACCUACCCUCUCUGGACAGAUUCUAAGGUUCCAAUAAACAUUUGCAUCUAGCCCUAUUUUUAAAACCAGAACCUGCCAUAUGCAUGUGUGUAAACAGGCUGGCAUUUGAUGGGUCAGCUCAGAAAUCAGUUUUGCAGCUCAAAACAAGCACAUACUCCACAAACAGUAGGUUAUAAUGCAAACGUUUCUUGGCAGCUGAGCCCUGAUGGCUCAUUUGUUCAAACUGCUCCCGCUCCUCGAACCUCGGUCUCUGCCCCCCCCCCCCUUUCGUGAAGGAGAAUCCCUAUUGCUGCUGCAGGGAGGUCUGAAAAAGUAAGGCUCCAGUCUGAGACAGGUUUCAUUUUUCUUCCCUUUCAGAGAAAGACUAGCAGUGCUUUGAUAAAUGAGAUUGCAAAACAAGUGGGAUGCAGACAUAAUGAUCUGGUUUCCUGUUUUUACAUGGUUUCUUUUCUUUUUUCUUUUUUACUCUGGUUCUUACGCUGCAGAGAACCCUACUAAAUUCAGUGGUCUUUACUUUCAAGCUUAUAUGCAGAGCAUACAGCAGCUAAGUAGAAGGCUAAUUGGAUGUAACAGUUUUAUGGUGGAUUGGUUUUUUUUUUAUUAAAUGUCAUCUUUUUCAUCAACA